AAGAGUUUAUGGACUUCGGUCUACUACUCCACCCUUUGUUUACAAUACCAUUGUUGCUUUGGCAGGCCCGUCGAAAGACAACCGGCUUCGGCUGGUCAGUGCCUGCCAGAGGACCUAAAACUCAUAUUAUCUAUGUCGUCUGAGUACUAUAUAAUAGUUA
RNAcentral lists this unclassified non-coding RNA (160 nucleotides) under uncultured Alatospora. RNAcentral's name for it is "sequence contains ITS1". The record is from RNAcentral. Lineage: Eukaryota; Fungi; Ascomycota.